Phalacrocorax carbo (great cormorant) is the source of this 1746-nucleotide non-coding RNA. Lineage: Eukaryota; Metazoa; Chordata; Aves; Suliformes; Phalacrocoracidae. The record is from RefSeq and is a predicted model, not a curated record.
UGGGAGCACCCGGGCUCCUGGGAAGGGCGAGGGUGACGCAGCUCCGAGGCCGCUACUAUUUGCUGUUUGUCUUUGCUUUUUGUGGGCUGUUUAAUAAUGGCCCCAAAUGUAAAUAUAUGGGGGCCAAGAUAAUUUUCUUUAUCAGAGUUCCAGGCUCCGCUGGCUUAAAGCUGCCGUUGGAGAGGGGGGAGUUGUCCCUCAGAGCUGCCUCUUUAUCUUCUAAUUCCACAUUUUACAUGUUUUGCCUUUAAGCAGAAGCUGUCUCAGAAAACUUUCAUCCCUUGUGAAAACGUAUUUGUUACCGCCAGACAUCCCAAAAUAGCUCUUUGUGCCUUCUUUUUCUUCGUCUCCUGCCAUACCAAAACUCCCGGGUUUGAUCUUUCACACCAGCACUCUGGGAACAAGAUGGAAAAGCUCCGUUUUCAGGUGCGAGACUCAAGCAAAGAAGAAAAACCCUAAAGCCUCUUACACGGUUGUAGUAAGAGAUGUACUUGGGAACUCUACAUCUGAAGACGGGCCUGGAUUUGCACCACCCAAAUUUUAGAGCGGUUCUGCCUGCGGUUCCGCGUGCUGCGGCGGUAACUUGUGCUCCAGAAGCACAAUUUAAGUGUAAAAGUGAGACGCCUCUGAUGCUGGGAGUCGUUUGGAGACUAUGUUUUCCUUGACAGCUGAUCAAAAGAUGCAGCUUUCUAGAAAUACCAUAUAGCUGAGGUCUGACCGGGCCAGCAAAUGCAGCUGUGGCAAAACAUCAUUUCAAAGGUAGGAUGUCAUUUUCGGUAACGGCUUUGCUGGAUGCCCGCGGGGCCUCACCGCUCGCCGGCACAGGGCAUGCAGGUGCAUCAGGCAGCUGCCUGGAGGUACCAGGGACAGGCUGCCUUAAGGUAGGUGAGCAAGACCUCCUGGUGCUGGCAGAAGAUGAAGCAAUGAGUUAUUCUAACCAAGGCCUUAAGAAACAUUUCCUUCAGUAAUGAAUUUGCGGUGGACCAAAAGCGAGAAAAUCCCAUAUAGAGAGAAUUGAAGAGGAGGCAGGCACGAUCGCCCCUGUGCCCAUCGGACCUGGAAAACUUCCACAGAAGGGCUUUAUCACAAAGGAACCAUAUCUGUUGGUUGGGGGGGAAAAAAAAGCCAGUUCAGGAAAAGCAAACUUGUUUUUCUAACUUAGAACUAGAUUUAAGGCACCUCCUUCCAUUUCUCUCUCUCGCAGGAGGAAAAAGCAUCCCUGCACAGAGCGUAUUUUACUGCCCAGGCAGCUCAUCUGACUUUCUGAAACAUGAGGGGAGGAGCAAGUGCGCAUCACGGUGUUGGCACAGCAGGGGCACGUGGCCUGUCUGAUUUGGAGAGGGCACUAUAGGCAGAUAAAUACCCUUCAGGGGUGUGUUAAAUGAACCUGCGAGAGUCAGCUGUUUCCCUGGAACUUGCUUUUUUCUUUGCUUUCCAACGACAGGUAUUUUCUUUCUUUUCUUUUCGGAGUGCAGGUAUCUGCUGGGAGCCGUGAGGUUUGUGAAAUACUGUGACCAUGAGAUACUCUCCUCAGCUGAGCCGCCUGGUACCUUGCUGGGUGCCUGCGUACAGCCUCAGGGUGCACCAUCGAAAGGUUUUCAGGAUUCGGGGGAUUCAGCUGUUCUUCUGAGAGGUCUGCUUAAAGCCCCCAAACCCUGAAGACAGCUUCUAUUCUAGAUUGGGUUUUUUGUUAAGAAUAAAUACAGAAAACAAGCCUCUUCGCAAAAUAAAAUGAAGUUCAUGGUU